This 427-nucleotide ribosomal RNA is filed under the name uncultured Massilia sp. RNAcentral describes it as "bacterial SSU rRNA". It matches the Rfam family "Bacterial small subunit ribosomal RNA", at positions 355 to 774 of the family's 1533-position model. The record is from RNAcentral. RNAcentral also lists the same sequence under 1 other name. Lineage: Bacteria; Pseudomonadati; Pseudomonadota; Betaproteobacteria; Burkholderiales; Oxalobacteraceae.
UGGGGAAUUUUGGACAAUGGGCGCAAGCCUGAUCCAGCAAUGCCGCGUGAGUGAAGAAGGCCUUCGGGUUGUAAAGCUCUUUUGUCAGGGAAGAAACGGGGGCGGCUAAUAUCCGCUCCUAAUGACGGUACCUGAAGAAUAAGCACCGGCUAACUACGUGCCAGCAGCCGCGGUAAUACGUAGGGUGCAAGCGUUAAUCGGAAUUACUGGGCGUAAAGCGUGCGCAGGCGGUUUUGUAAGUCUGAUGUGAAAUCCCCGGGCUCAACCUGGGAAUUGCAUUGGAGACUGCAAGGCUGGAAUCUGGCAGAGGGGGGUAGAAUUCCACGUGUAGCAGUGAAAUGCGUAGAGAUGUGGAGGAACACCGAUGGCGAAGGCAGCCCCCUGGGUCAAGAUUGACGCUCAUGCACGAAAGCGUGGGGAGCAAACA